RNAcentral lists this ribosomal RNA (250 nucleotides) under uncultured bacterium. RNAcentral describes it as "partial 16S ribosomal RNA". It matches the Rfam family "Bacterial small subunit ribosomal RNA", at positions 524 to 773 of the family's 1533-position model. RNAcentral also lists the same sequence under 1 other name. The record is from RNAcentral.
UACGUAGGGUGCAAGCGUUAAUCGGAAUUAUUGGGCGUAAAGCGAGUGCAGACGGUUACUUAAGCCAGAUGUGAAAUCCCCAAGCUUAACUUGGGACGUGCAUUUGGAACUGGGUGACUAGAGUGUGUCAGAGGGAGGUAGAAUUCCACAUGUAGCGGUGGAAUGCGUAGAGAUGUGGAGGAAUACCGAUGGCGAAGGCAGCCUCCUGGGAUAACACUGACGUUGAGGCUCGAAAGCGUGGGGAGCAAAC